RNAcentral lists this ribosomal RNA (253 nucleotides) under uncultured bacterium. RNAcentral's name for it is "partial 16S ribosomal RNA". It matches the Rfam family "Bacterial small subunit ribosomal RNA", at positions 524 to 776 of the family's 1533-position model. The record is from RNAcentral.
UACGUAGGGUGCAAGCGUUGUCCGGAAUUAUUGGGCGUAAAGAGCUUGUAGGCGGUUUGUCGAGUCUGCUGUGAAAUUUCGGGGCUCAACCACGAACUUGCAGUGGGUACGGGCAGACUAGAGUGUGGUAGGGGAGACUGGAAUUCCUGGUGUAGCGGUGAAAUGCGCAGAUAUCAGGAGGAACACCGAUGGCGAAGGCAGGUCUCUGGGCCAUAACUGACGCUGAGAAGCGAAAGCAUGGGGAGCGAACAGG